GUCCCGCUAGCGGUCCGGGUGCUGCCCGGAGCCCGGCGGCUCCCAUUGCCACCUGCGGGACGUUGGCGCCGGGAGCCGCGCUUGUGAGUCUCCGCGCGCUGUCUGCAGCCGGCUGGUGGCUUCAGGUGGUCUGUUUUGUCCGUUAGAGGUGAGGGGCCGAAGGAGAUGUUUCUCCUGAGAUGUGCUGCGAGGAAUAUUGAUGUCUCAGACUUUCCUCGAAGAAAGAUUCAGAGCACUUUAAGCAGUUGCCUGUGGUUUAGGGCUGGUGUCAGAGAUGAAUGUGGAAGCGGUGACUGACAGAACGCCCUGCUUGUGGGUCUGCAGCCCCACGUUUGGCUGAGCAGCGUUCAGCAGUUCCCGUCCCUGCACAGUCCCAGUUUUCUGUCAUUACACACCCUGCAGGUGUGUGCUGGGCACAUUGAGCCUCUCAGCACAGAUGGCUUUGACAGAGCAGCUCGGAACGUGGGAUGCACCCUGAGAGCAGGCCUGGCCGGAUCCUUCCUUCCAUCCAACUCAAAACAGCAGAGGGGGAAAAGCUUGGUGAGAUCCUCAGGGUCUUCAGGCUGAGUUACUGGGUUUUUGUUUGCUUAGUGAUAGAAGCUUCGUUGUGACUCUUCAAGAUCCAACACUGCUGAUGAACCUUGGGAGCUUAGGAAUGUAAUUUUGAUUCCAUGGCAUAAUUAGCUGUUCUUUUUGUUCUUCCUCAAAAAAAUUACACAACUGUAUAUGAAAAAUAUGACAAUUUUUUGGUUCAGAAAACACUUCCAUUUGUUGUAUCUUUUUUCAUUCCUAAAACAUAAUCCACUCUAUUAACAAAAUAAAAGUGAAAUCUGAAGGAGCAAGAAUUGUAUACUACAAAAUGAAUGAUAUUUCAAAGAGUUAUCUAGUAUGAACAAUGUUUUUUGGCAAUUUCUUAUUUUUGAAUUUUAACUUUGUCAUUAUAAUUUACAGUAAUGGUGUACAUUGGGACUAUCUAUCUCUGCAUUCAGUUCCUGAAAACGUAUUUAGGAGAACACAUAUGCUUUGCCUGCCUGUUCAUGUGUUUAUCUAGCACAGAUAAUACCAGAAAUACUUCAAAUAAACGAGCUUUGCAGUAAAUUCAGAAA
Molecule: long non-coding RNA, 1106 nt
Organism: Tympanuchus pallidicinctus (lesser prairie-chicken)
Lineage: Eukaryota; Metazoa; Chordata; Aves; Galliformes; Phasianidae
Exons: 2
Source: RefSeq, a predicted model, not a curated record